RNAcentral lists this transfer RNA (70 nucleotides) under Marmota monax (woodchuck). Its description in RNAcentral is "tRNA.Undet". The record is from RNAcentral. Lineage: Eukaryota; Metazoa; Chordata; Mammalia; Rodentia; Sciuridae.
GGGGUUGUGGCUCAGGGGUAGAGCACUCACCUGGAUGUGCAGAGCCCUGGGUUCAAUCCUCAGCACCACA